CAGGCNUAACACAUGCAAGUCGAGCGAGAGCGGCCGAGGGGUAACCUNANCCGGGACAGCGGCGAACGGGUGCGUAACACGUGGGCAACCUGCCCUGACUCCGGGAUAACNCCGGGAAACCGAGCUAAUACNGGAUACUCUCGGCCAGCCUCAUGNGGNNNANNANAGAUCCGUCGGUCAGGGAUGGGCCCGCGCUAAUCAGCUUGUUGGCGGGGUGACGGCCCACCAAGGCGACGACGGGUAGCUGGUCUGAGAGGACGACCAGCCACACUGGAACUGAGAUACGGUCCAGACUCCUACGCGAGGCAGCAGUGGGGAAUAUUGCACAAUGGGCGAAAGCCUGAUGCAGCGACGCCGCGUGAGGGAUGACCGCCCUCNGGCUGUAAACCUCUUUCGGCAGGGACGAAGCGAUCAGUGACGGUACCUGCAGAAGAAGUCCCGGCUAACUACGUGCCAGCAGCCGCGGUAAGACGUAGGGGACGAGCGUUGUCCGGAUUUAUUGGGCGUAAAAGCGCGCGUAGGCGGCCGCGCNAAAGUCGGAUGUGAAAANCUCCGGGGCUCAACCCCGAAUUCUGCAUCCCGAUACUGCGUGGCUAGAGGUAGGUAGGGGAGAUCGGAAUUCCUGGUGUAGCGGUGAAAUGCGCAGAUAUCAGGAGGAACACCGGUGGCGAAGNGCGGAUCUCUGGGCCUUACCUNGACGCUCAGGCGCGAAAGCUAGGGGGAGCGAACAGGAUUAGAUACCCUGGUAGUCCUAGCCGUAAACGUUGGGUGCUAGGUGUGGGCGGAUAUCGACCCCGUCCGUGCCGAAGCUAACGCAUUAAGCACCCCGCCUGGGAAGUACGGCCCGCAAGAAUAAAACUCAAAAGGAAUUGACGGGGGCCCGCACAAACGGCGGAGACAUUGUGGCNUUAAUUCGAAGCGACGCGAAGAACCUUACCUGGGCUUGACAUGCGGGGUGAAACCGUGGAAACACGGCGGCUCUUCGGAGCCCGCACAGGUGUUGCAUGGCUGUCGUCAGCUCGUGCCGUGAGGUGUUGCCUUAAGUGGCAACGAGCGCAACCCCUGUCCUUAGUUGCCAGCGGCAAAGCCGGGAACUCUAGGGAGACUGCCGGUGCCAAACCGGAGGAAGGUGGGGAUGACGUCAAGUCAUCAUGACCCUUAUGUCCANGGCUGCACACAUGCUACAAUGCGCGAUACAGAGGGUUNGAUCCGCAAGGGGGAGCGAAUCCCAAAAAGUCGCGCUCAGUUCGGAUGGGGUCUGCAACUCGACCCCGUGAAGUCGGAGUCGCUAGUAAUCGNAGAUCAGCAACGCUGCGGUAGAAUACGUUCCCGGGACUUGUACACACC
RNAcentral lists this ribosomal RNA (1347 nucleotides) under uncultured bacterium. RNAcentral describes it as "bacterial SSU rRNA". It matches the Rfam family "Bacterial small subunit ribosomal RNA", at positions 43 to 1391 of the family's 1533-position model. The record is from RNAcentral.